This 95-nucleotide ribosomal RNA is filed under the name Escherichia coli. Lineage: Bacteria; Pseudomonadati; Pseudomonadota; Gammaproteobacteria; Enterobacterales; Enterobacteriaceae. RNAcentral also lists the same sequence under 1 other name. The record is from RNAcentral.
GUCCCACCUGAUCCCAUGCCGAACUCAGAAGUGAAACGCCGUAGCGCCGAUGGUAGUGUGGGGUCUCCCCAUGCGAGAGUAGGGAACUGCCAGGC